Molecule: ribosomal RNA, 691 nt
Filed under: Bacillus sp. CU38
Lineage: Bacteria; Bacillati; Bacillota; Bacilli; Caryophanales; Bacillaceae
Description: bacterial SSU rRNA
Rfam family: Bacterial small subunit ribosomal RNA
Source: RNAcentral
UGGACGAAGUCUGACGGAGCAACGCCGCGUGAGUGAUGAAGGUUUUCGGAUCGUAAAGCUCUGUUGUUAGGGAAGAACAAGUGCAAGAGUAACUGCUUGCACCUUGACGGUACCUAACCAGAAAGCCACGGCUAACUACGUGCCAGCAGCCGCGGUAAUACGUAGGUGGCAAGCGUUGUCCGGAAUUAUUGGGCGUAAAGGGCUCGCAGGCGGUUUCUUAAGUCUGAUGUGAAAGCCCCCGGCUCAACCGGGGAGGGUCAUUGGAAACUGGGAAACUUGAGUGCAGAAGAGGAGAGUGGAAUUCCACGUGUAGCGGUGAAAUGCGUAGAGAUGUGGAGGAACACCAGUGGCGAAGGCGACUCUCUGGUCUGUAACUGACGCUGAGGAGCGAAAGCGUGGGGAGCGAACAGGAUUAGAUACCCUGGUAGUCCACGCCGUAAACGAUGAGUGCUAAGUGUUAGGGGGUUUCCGCCCCUUAGUGCUGCAGCUAACGCAUUAAGCACUCCGCCUGGGGAGUACGGUCGCAAGACUGAAACUCAAAGGAAUUGACGGGGGCCCGCACAAGCGGUGGAGCAUGUGGUUUAAUUCGAAGCAACGCGAAGAACCUUACCAGGUCUUGACAUCCUCUGACAACCCUAGAGAUAGGGCUUUCCCUUCGGGGACAGAGUGACAGGUGGUGCAUGGUUGUCGU